UAAAUUGAUUUGAACCUUUAAAUGAGAGAUGCAAGUUCGCAUAUGAUACUAAUGUUGGCAGACUUUAUUAAAUCUGAUUCAGACGCUAUGGCAGUUGGGCAUAAAUUUUGUGAGGCUUAGAACUUUCAAUCUAGGGAUAAGUAGCCCCAUUCAUUGCACCUUUCUUUAAAUGUCUAGAUGUGAGUGGGAUUUAGGCAGAUUUGUAAAGGUAAACACUUACCUAAGAACCAGUGAGGUAGGGUUUUAAGAAUAAUUCCAUUUGAUUGUACUUCAGAAAAAAGUUAUAAUUACACGGAUGGGAAGCAAUAGAUUUUGGGAGUUUUAAAGCUAUGCCUUGUAUUAGACCUCGGAUAAUGCAGAGGAGUUCUGGUCUUGCUAUAAUAUAUAUAAAUGUUGGGGUGCCGAGAAGGAUGACAAAAGGUAACUGGUUGAGGAACUUUCCAUACAAAGAUAAUUAACGCCUAUAAAAUGGUACUCGGGAAAGGCGGGAAAGGUGCAA
Molecule: long non-coding RNA, 499 nt
Organism: Eriocheir sinensis (Chinese mitten crab)
Lineage: Eukaryota; Metazoa; Arthropoda; Malacostraca; Decapoda; Varunidae
Exons: 2
Source: RefSeq, a predicted model, not a curated record